RNAcentral lists this long non-coding RNA (243 nucleotides) under Aotus nancymaae (Ma's night monkey). RNAcentral's name for it is "lncRNA (ENSANAG00000039453.1)". Lineage: Eukaryota; Metazoa; Chordata; Mammalia; Primates; Aotidae. The record is from RNAcentral.
AGAUGUUCUGAAAGGUUGACAAGACAUUGAGCUCUGACAAAACGUCAUUUUAAAGGGAAUGAAUCAUCUACUCUGCAAUGGUAAUGAGAGGUUCACUUUCAGAUUGGCUUCUUUUACAUGACAAAUGAUUGGACCAGGGAAGAACAUCAAAUUCUGACACAGGAUCAGGAGCUUGCAUGAAAUGUCUACAAUGAAUUGAGAAUUAGAACCAGGAGACAAAUAAAUUACAAAAAACACUAUGGG